This 526-nucleotide ribosomal RNA is filed under the name Clostridioides difficile. RNAcentral's name for it is "bacterial SSU rRNA". It matches the Rfam family "Bacterial small subunit ribosomal RNA", at positions 1014 to 1533 of the family's 1533-position model. The record is from RNAcentral. Lineage: Bacteria; Bacillati; Bacillota; Clostridia; Peptostreptococcales; Peptostreptococcaceae.
UUCCCUUCGGGGACAUUGGUGACAGGUGGUGCAUGGUUGUCGUCAGCUCGUGUCGUGAGAUGUUGGGUUAAGUCCCGCAACGAGCGCAACCCUUGUCUUUAGUUGCCAUCAUUAAGUUGGGCACUCUAGAGAGACUGCCAGGGAUAACCUGGAGGAAGGUGGGGAUGACGUCAAAUCAUCAUGCCCCUUAUGCUUAGGGCUACACACGUGCUACAAUGGGUAGUACAGAGGGUUGCCAAGCCGUAAGGUGGAGCUAAUCCCUUAAAGCUACUCUCAGUUCGGAUUGUAGGCUGAAACUCGCCUACAUGAAGCUGGAGUUACUAGUAAUCGCAGAUCAGAAUGCUGCGGUGAAUGCGUUCCCGGGUCUUGUACACACCGCCCGUCACACCACGGGAGUUGGAGACGCCCGAAGCCGAUUAUCUAACCUGUUGGAAGAAGUCGUCGAAGGUGGAAUCAAUAACUGGGGUGAAGUCGUAACAAGGUAGCCGUAUCGGAAGGUGCGGCUGGAUCACCUCCUUUCUAAGGA